AUGUACAACCCUUACACUCCGGUUCCUCCGCGCCGUCCGCACCCACCUGACGACUGCUCGCUACGUUUUGUUAGCC
Molecule: small RNA, 76 nt
Filed under: Xanthomonas fragariae
Lineage: Bacteria; Pseudomonadati; Pseudomonadota; Gammaproteobacteria; Lysobacterales; Lysobacteraceae
Description: sX9 sRNA
Rfam family: Xanthomonas sRNA sX9
Source: RNAcentral